RNAcentral lists this ribosomal RNA (492 nucleotides) under Stephanitis sp. YT-2007. RNAcentral's name for it is "partial 16S ribosomal RNA". The stretch from base 345 to 492 matches the Rfam family "Bacterial large subunit ribosomal RNA", at positions 2473 to 2621 of the family's 2925-position model. The record is from RNAcentral. Lineage: Eukaryota; Metazoa; Arthropoda; Insecta; Hemiptera; Tingidae.
AANGAUUUCUUAAAUAGCCNCGUUAUAACCGUGCUAAGGUAGCAUAAUAAUUUGUCCUUUAAUUAAGGUCUAGUAUGAAUGGUUAAACGAAAGGUUAACUUUUUUAAUUAAAUUAAUUUUAAUUUUAUUUUUUAGUUAAAAAGCUAAAAUAGUAUUAUAGGACGAUAAGACCCUAUAGAAUUUUAUUUAAAUAUGUUCAUUUUAUUAUUAUUUUGAAUAUAAUAUGUAUUUUAUUAAUUUGAUUGGGGUGAUUUUUAUAUUUUAUAAACUAUAAUAUAAUAUUUUUCAUGAAUUAAUGAAUUUUUGAUCCUUAAUUUGAGAUUAUUAGAAAAAAUUACCUUAGGGAUAACAGCGUGAUUUUCUUGGAGAGUUCUUAUUAAUAAGAAAGUUUGCGACCUCGAUGUUGGAUUAAAAUAUAAUUGUGGUGUAGAAGCUAUAAAUUUAAGUCUGUUCGACUUUUAAAAUUUUACAUGAUCUGAGUUCAACCCGGAA